This 440-nucleotide ribosomal RNA is filed under the name uncultured bacterium. Its description in RNAcentral is "bacterial SSU rRNA". It matches the Rfam family "Bacterial small subunit ribosomal RNA", at positions 405 to 842 of the family's 1533-position model. The record is from RNAcentral.
GGGAAGACGGCCCUAUGGGUUGUAAACCUCUUUUGUCGGAGAACAAAACCCGGGACGAGUCCCGGACUGCGUGUAUCCGAAGAAAAAGCAUCGGCUAACUCCGUGCCAGCAGCCGCGGUAAUACGGAGGAUGCGAGCGUUAUCCGGAUUUAUUGGGUUUAAAGGGUGCGUAGGCGGUCUGUUAAGUCAGCGGUAAAAUUGCGGGGCUCAACCCCGUCGAGCCGUUGAAACUGGCAGACUUGAGUUGGCGAGAAGUACGCGGAAUGCGCGGUGUAGCGGUGAAAUGCAUAGAUAUCGCGCAGAACUCCGAUUGCGAAGGCAGCGUACCGGCGCCAGACUGACGCUGAGGCACGAAAGCGUGGGGAUCGAACAGGAUUAGAUACCCUGGUAGUCCACGCAGUAAACGAUGAAUGCUGGUUGUCCGGGUCGAAUGAGACCUGG